GUCCAUUUCUUUCCAAAUGCCCUUCACCUUGAUACUUAAACAUGGUAGACCCAAUAUGAAGACAGAUAUUUUGUAUAUGAAAACAGAAUCAUUAAUUUAAUAGUUUACAUAAUAUUUACCAACUGUCACCAGAUAAUGACUAAAUGAAUGUGUGGCGUCAUUGACAUUCUACAAAUAUAACACAAUAUGGACAACAUGACAUUGAGACAAUGAGACAUGGCUAUGGCAUUUCUUGGUUUAUUUGUUCCAAUUGUACAACAUUAUGGCACUGAGAUUCAUGGGAACUCAGAAUUCAGACUUUUAUUUGACAUUUACAACCAAGGUUUGUCUCACUUAACAUUAAAAUAACAUAAUUAAUCCUAAUGAUACAUUUAGCCAGUUAACAUACAUUUAUUCUGAGUAUUUGGAAUGAAAAAAAUGCAACAAAGAAGACAGUCCGACAAUAUGAGUGAAAUUGUCCACAUUUCGGGGACUGAAAAUAAUUCCCCCAUCGAAUUUAAUGCAAAAAUGGGUCACAGAGUAUGAGCUCUACUAAAGAGCACAUAAAAUCCUGAGUGGUCUAUAAAUAAAUAUAGACAUGCCUGGAUUCAUUGAAGGUGCUGUGUCAUAUUGAGAAUGGUUGUAGGAUGGUUGCGGGAUGGUUGAAAACGGUGUAAUGAUACACUAUCCCCACCCUUUACCUGUCAGUAUAACAAAAAAGAACAUAUGUCCAUAAAUGGUUGUAAAACCUUCAUAUCAACAAGACAUUUCAGAAAUAGAUAUUUUUGCUUGUGGUUGAUUCAUUGACUGGUAGAAUGAAAGGGUCUUUGUCAUCCUGAAAAAGUACAUCUAAAAUGGAUGUGAAUGGGAAAUGUGAAACCAAAACCGCGGGAAAAGGCAUUACACUGCGAAAGGAUUAGGCAAACUGUGCGCAGCGUGAAACAGAGAUGUAAACUUAAACGAUAUUUUGACAAAACAUAGCACAAAAUGAAUGAUUGCUACCAGAAACAAUCGUUAUCAAUUGCACCCCAUAUUGUCAUGUCUAUUUGUAUAUAUAUAUAUUCACAUACAUAUUGUAUAUAUAUAUAUAUAUAUAUACACUGUCUCAGAGUACAAUAAUGCAAUAAUAGGCUAUCGAGUUUAUUGAUUUAAAAAAUAAGGACAGUUUUAGGCCUCAACCUAUUUUAAUUCCAUUGCUACAUAGUCUAUUUAGUUUGUUCCUACAUUUUAUAGGUAACCUCGUUAAAUUCACAUGACUUAAGACUGAGUGAAAGCAUAUAGGCUAAUUCGAUAAGGAAAGCACAUGGGUUAUACGUUGCAUAAAAACUGCAGUAACCCGGAUUCGCUGCGGCUACUGGGGUUGCUGCGCGUGCAACCUCGGGUGCAGAGAGAGCAAUAUGUUGGAUAUGCAAAACACCGCAGGUAAACUGGCCGCUCAAAUCAGGGGCUAAAAUAAGCAUUUUCUUCAUAGGAUUAACAAGAGAAAGGGGAUCUGAAGUUUAAUAUCUGCAUUUGUUUGCACAAAUGCUGAUUCGUUAUGUUUAGUGGAAUGCAUAGCUGAAAGAAGUCAACUGUUGUUAUUUAAAGCAGAUUGUUUAUCAUUUCCGAUUAAUUGAAAUGUUAAAAAUGCGCCACACGACCGUAAUUCAAAGCAUAUUAAAUCGAAGAAUAGCAUAAUAAGAAUAAUGAUAACAGUAAUAUGAAAACACAGAGACAUGCAUUUAGAAAAACAUAUAAUGUCAACAUUAUGGCUCUGUAAACCUGUUAAAGUCAGACAUGAAAAGAAUGAUAAUUAGAUUGAGGAUAUAGACUAUGUAAUUUAAGGGGGAAAACACAAGGAUGUGUUACUGAGCACUAUUUCAGUAGACGUGUGGUUGUCAAUCCAUAUAAAUUCAUUCGUUCAUAAGUUAUUUCGAUAUUUACUGACUUUGAGGUUUACAUGAUAUUCUGCUGUCAUGAUCUUGUUUAUUUCUAAACAAUAAAUGAUCGAAAUUCUCCAAAAACUCGUGUAACGUUAUUUUCCCACGGGAACCACUAGAGGUCGCCGUUUCUUAGCGAAGGUACAUCCUACAUCCCCAUCCACAUCCUCAGUCCAAACCUCUAUCUCAACACACACCAACACUGUAUUAUCGUACUGUAUUAUCAAAGAUACAAAUCUUAAUUCAUAUUCGCUAAAUAAUCUCUAGUCCACGACAUAUUCUGUUCAUCAAUGUCGAAUUCCAAAGUUGAGUAUACUGAUAAAGAGUAGUAUUCCCGGGUCUAAUAGUAGAAAAGUAAUAAUAACUUAUGUAUAUAAUUGUGGUAAUAAUAAUAACAAUAAUAAUAAUAAUAUAUGUAAAAAAAUAUAUGUUUGUUUGUCUGGUUUACGUAACGUUGCAGCGACAUUGAAACUAUGACUCACAAAUCAAAUCACACAAACGCAAGCACCACUCAACAUACCUCCCUCUCUAUCUUUCUAUCUCGCUUUCUCUCUCUCUCUCUCUCUCUCUCUCUCUCUCUCUCUCUCUCUCUCUAUCUCUCCCUCUCUCACACACACACACACACACACACACACACACACACACACACACACACACACACACACACACACACACACACACACACACACACACACACACACACACACACACACACACAACAAACACACACACAGCAUCCUAAUUUAUCUCUGAUAAAAGCCAGUUUCGUUAUGGUGAGAUUAAUUCAUUAAAAAAACGAAUGCUUUAGAUGUAAAAUUUGUAUGAAUAUAAAUAACAAGGGUGAAAUUCUUUGUUGCAUGGGUGAGUUUUGGUCAAAACUGACAGCACAAGAGGCAAAAUCAACGCAAUCUCUAAAGAAAAUGCCAUACCUGACCAUUACUGUAAUUUGAAUGCAGAUGAAAAUAGAAAAUAUUGGCAAUAUUUCUAGUUGGAAGGGAUACGAUUGAAAAUAGUAUGAGUGGCUACAAAUAAUUGUCCUCUCUUUACCAGUAUAGGCUGACCGUGUAUGUGUGAUACGUAAUGAGGAUAGUCCAUGUUUACCACAAUAUGGAAGGCUGGUGAUUUAGAUAAGCCUACUCAUGAUCUAGCUCUAAUAUGAAUUCUAACGUGUCAGACAGAAAUAUGCAUUACGCAUUCGAUAAUUGAUUGACGGACCACAUUAAGAUUAGAAUGGUUUUGUCUUUCGGAAAUAUAGAUUCGAAGUAUAGGCCUAUAUGAUUUUUUUAUAUUUGCUAAAUGUCAACAGUUUCUUCUCUUUCAUCACAUUCCUCCAUCUUAGGUAUAUGAUACUGGAAUACAUUUGACAUUUUAGUCAUUUAGCAGAGCCUUGCUCAAGGGGCGGCAGGGUAGCCUAGUGGUUAGAGUGUUGUUCUAGCACCCGGAAAGUUGCAAGUCAAACCCCCGAGGUGACAAAUUACAAAUCUGUCGUUCUGCCCCUAAACGGGUAGUUAACCCACUGUUCCUAGGCCGUCAUUGAAAAUAAGAAUUUGUUCUUAACUCACUUGCCUAGUUAAAUAAAGGUUAAGAAAAAGGGGCACAUCGCCAGAAUUUGCGGCUCGAGGAUUCGAACCAGCGACUUUUCGUUAGGCCCAACGCUACUGGCCCAACGCUCUUAUUGGCUACAAGUAUUCAAUGGCUAUCCAUUUUGACAGCUAUCCUUGGCAAUUCAAAUGACAAAUAGGUAGCCUAAUUGCUUUUGUCUCAAAAAAAUGUCUAAAUUCAAAUAGCUCUCAUUUUUCUAAAUGUUGCUAUAGACCUUGUUCGGCCUGUAGCUCAAGACUAAGUUGUAAAUAUGUAUUAUUAGUGUGAUUGGAAAUUGGAACCGCACUUUAUGCUUAUCUAGGUCACAUAUAGCUGCCAUUCCUCAUUGUACAUAUUGAUCCAAGUGCGUCACACUAUUCAAUUAUAGCCUACAAAUUCGCAAAAUGUGGUUAGGUUUUAAAGUGGCAAAAGCAAUACUUAAUGUGCAAUAAUCCUAGAACGUUGUAGCCUAUGCAUGCAACCCCAUGUGUGUUUGUCAAGACAAAUUACUUGUAGAUCCAUGACAGCAUGCAGCCUCUUCGGAGGGAAACAAUUUUUACGUGUGCCCGUCUGACCACUUCUAUUGGGUGACACAUCAGACGAGCAGUUUGGGAGCAAGGUUCACUUGUGGAGGAGGCUGAGUUACACGAGUAGGGAGUACAGCAUCUCCAACCGGCUCGCACAAUCAAUUGCGCUGGAAAAUUGGCGUCGACUUGAUUGAGAGCGCGUGCAUAGCCUGCCAGGAAGAUUUGAAUGGUGAUGUAAAAUAUAAGGGGUUGGAGAAAUAUGGCCCUGAUUCCCCUGCUUAGGAGAGAGGCCAAGUGGACAUGUCUGUCUGGGACUUUGCCUACUGCUGAACCAACAUGAGCUCAGGUGAGAGAGGAGUCAUCGGGAGCCAGACAGAGAGUACCAGGAUAACGGCUGUGUCCAUGUGUUAAGGAUGACCCACAGAUCACAGAGAUGGAGCAUCUAUCUGCGUGACCCUUUACUGUUGUCUCUAGUGGGGCUCGAGACAUGGGCUUCGAACACCACCUGAACAUCAACAUGCACAACCAUCAAGAUACAGUACGCUGAGAAGACAGAUACAGAACUCUACUAUUUAUAAUCAGCAUGCAUAUAUCUGUUCUAGAUACACAGAAACCACCAAAUACACACUAACAUCCUUUGAAUCAAGUCAGUUUUUUGUAUCAUUGUGAUUUAAAUCUGUAAGUUGUAAAACUGUUUACCAUGUCUACUCACUGGGAUGUAGAAGUACAACAUUAUUUAUUCUGAAUUGUAAAAGUCUGUAUUGGUGUAUUGGAUUUUGAAUUAACCUGUCCUUAGAAUACAGCAUAACAUCUGAAGGGAACCCGCAGGACACAUUGUCUUUAUCUGACAUUGACUGAAUUUAUAGAAAAAGUAAACAUCAAAGGGAAUAUUUUUGUACUUUCUCAAAUCAUUGUAUUUUCUCAAUGAACAGAAUAAAAUAUAUUCAAGAAUAUUUUGUUUCUGAGUUUUUUACAGUAUGUCUACAGUACUGUAUAUACCUUUGACAUGACUAGAUCCUCUGUGGGAUCAAUGUGAA
Molecule: long non-coding RNA, 5043 nt
Organism: Oncorhynchus tshawytscha (Chinook salmon)
Lineage: Eukaryota; Metazoa; Chordata; Actinopteri; Salmoniformes; Salmonidae
Source: Ensembl